AUGGCGCUCUCCCGCCGCCGCCUCCUCCUCCUCUCCCUCGUUGCCAUGACGGCGGUCACUGGCACCUCCAAGGUCAUCGUGACAAGGUGCUACCCGCCGCCGACGCCCCACCCCAACGGCAGGGGCGCGUUCCACCGCAGUCUUCUCUCGCUCCUCGACGACCUCCCCUCCGCCGCCGCACCGACGGGCUUCGCCUCCAUGCGGACCCGCGGCGCGUUCGCCCGUGGCCUCUGCUUCGGCGACCCCGCGCCCGGCCCGUGCCUCCACUGCCUGUCCGACGCCGGCGGGAAGAUCGCCGACCAGUGCGGCAACGCGGGCUUCCUGAACGACGGCUGCUUCCUGGGCUACGCCGACACCAACGUUUCCUCCGACGGCAUCGACAUCGGUGCCCUCACCUUCUCCGACGACUCCGUCCCGGGCAUCGACGACAUCGACGUGCUGCACUUCUUGGCCGUGGCGCUGCCCCUGGUCCCGCAAUCCGCGAACGGCCGGGUGCCCGCCGCCGACGCGACUGCCACGGCGAGCAACGGCGACAAGGUGCGCGUGCUGGCACAGUGCGCGCCGGACCGCGCCCCGGCGGGGUGCGACCUGUGCCUGAGUGAUGCGGUGCUGCAGAUGGCCACGAGCUGGGGGCUCACCGCCGACGGCGUGCAAGGAAGCGUGGCCGCGGUUCUGGGCCCAGACUGCUACCUCCGUCUCGAGAUAUCGGCACCGCCGCUGAGAGAGAAGAUUCGGAGGAUCGUAAAGGAUCACAUCUUCCUGACUGUGUUCAUCUGCACCAUCGUCGUCGGAGCUAUCCUCGCGCUGGUAGCUCAUUUCUGCAGCCUGGUGAUGAGAAAGGCCGGGAAUUGA
RNAcentral lists this ribosomal RNA (852 nucleotides) under Triticum aestivum (bread wheat). Its description in RNAcentral is "partial small subunit ribosomal RNA". Lineage: Eukaryota; Viridiplantae; Streptophyta; Magnoliopsida; Poales; Poaceae. The record is from RNAcentral.